Molecule: unclassified non-coding RNA, 297 nt
Filed under: plant metagenome
Description: partial contains small subunit ribosomal RNA and internal transcribed spacer 1
Source: RNAcentral
AAGUCGUAACAAGGUUUCCGUAGGUAUGUAAUCGUACUCCUUUCUUGACUUUUAUGGUGACCAAUGCUAACGGUUCUUUCUAGGUGAACCUGCGGAAGGAUCAUUAAAGAGUUAGGUCUUCUGGGCCCGACCUCCCAACCCCAUGUUUAUUGAACCUUUGUUGCUUCGGCGGACCCGUCUCACGACCGCCGGAGGAUCGCCUCACGGCAUCCUCUGGCCAGCGUCCGCCGAUAGCCAACCCCUAAAACUCCGAAUAAAUCGUGUCGUAUGUCUAAGUCGUGAUUAAAUUAAGCAAAA